UACAGAGGUCCCGAGCGUUGUUCGGAUUCACUGGGCGUAAAGGGUGCGUAGGUGGUGAGGUAAGUCGGAUGUGAAAUCUCCGGGCUCAACCCGGAAAUGGCAUUGGAAACUACCUUGCUAGAGGAUUUGAGGGGGGAUUGGAAUACUUGGUGUAGCAGUGAAAUGCGUAGAUAUCAAGUGGAACACCGGUGGCGAAGGCGGAUCUCUGGGCCUUACCUGACGCUGAGGCGCGAAAGCUAGGGGAGCGAACAGG
This 253-nucleotide ribosomal RNA is filed under the name uncultured bacterium. RNAcentral's name for it is "partial 16S ribosomal RNA". It matches the Rfam family "Bacterial small subunit ribosomal RNA", at positions 524 to 776 of the family's 1533-position model. The record is from RNAcentral.